Non-coding RNA from Trichonephila inaurata madagascariensis, 76 nucleotides. The record is from the annotation of a GenBank genome assembly. NCBI's taxonomy places the organism in Eukaryota, Metazoa, Arthropoda, Arachnida, Araneae, Nephilidae.
GGCGCCGUGGCUUAGUUAGGUUAUAGCGCCUGUCUAGUAAACAGGAGAUCACGAGCUGAACUUCGCCUUGGUGCCU